GGCCCCUUAGCUCAGUGGUUAGAGCUAGGAACUCAUAAUCGCUUGGUCGCUGGUUCAAGUCCAGCAGGGGCCACCA
This 76-nucleotide transfer RNA is filed under the name Enterobacter hormaechei subsp. xiangfangensis. Its description in RNAcentral is "tRNA-Ile". It matches the Rfam family "tRNA". Rfam says of the family: Transfer RNA (tRNA) molecules are approximately 80 nucleotides in length. Lineage: Bacteria; Pseudomonadati; Pseudomonadota; Gammaproteobacteria; Enterobacterales; Enterobacteriaceae. The record is from RNAcentral.